UUAAGCGACUAAGCGUACACGGUGGAUGCCCUGGCAGUCAGAGGCGAUGAAGGACGUGCUAAUCUGCGAAAAGCGUCGGUAAGGUGAUAUGAACCGUUAUAACCGGCGAUGUCCGAAUGGGGAAACCCAGUGCAAUUCGUUGCACUAUCGUUAACUGAAUACAUAGGUUAACGAGGCGAACCGGGGGAACUGAAACAUCUAAGUACCCCGAGGAAAAGAAAUCAACCGAGAUUCCCCCAGUAGCGGCGAGCGAACGGGGAGCAGCCCAGAGUCUGAAUCAGCUUGUGUGUUAGUGGAACGGUCUGGAAAGUCCGACGGUACAGGGUGAUAGUCCCGUACACCAAAAUGCACAGGCUGUGAACUCGAAGAGUAGGGCGGGACACGUGGUAUCCUGUCUGAAUAUGGGGGGACCAUCCUCCAAGGCUAAAUACUCCUGACUGACCGAUAGUGAACCAGUACCGUGAGGGAAAGGCGAAAAGAACCCCGGCGAGGGGAGUGAAAAAGAACCUGAAACCGUGUACGUACAAGCAGUGGGAGCACCUUCGGGUGUGACUGCGUACCUUUUGUAUAAUGGGUCAGCGACUUAUAUUCUGUAGCAAGGUUAACCGUAUAGGGGAGCCGCAGGGAAACCGAGUCUUAACUGGGCGUUAAGUUGCAGGGUAUAGACCCGAAACCCGGUGAUCUAGCCAUGGGCAGGUUGAAGGUUGGGUAACACUAACUGGAGGACCGAACCGACUAAUGUUGAAAAAUUAGCGGAUGACUUGUGGCUGGGGGUGAAAGGCCAAUCAAACCGGGAGAUAGCUGGUUCUCCCCGAAAGCUAUUUAGGUAGCGCCUCGUGAACUCAUCUUCGGGGGUAGAGCACUGUUUCGGCUAGGGGGUCAUCCCGACUUACCAACCCGAUGCAAACUACGAAUACCGAAGAAUGUUAUCACGGGAGACACACGGCGGGUGCUAACGUCCGUCGUGAAGAGGGAAACAACCCAGACCGCCAGCUAAGGUCCCAAAGUCAUGGUUAAGUGGGAAACGAUGUGGGAAGGCACAGACAGCCAGGAUGUUGGCUUAGAAGCAGCCAUCAUUUAAAGAAAGCGUAAUAGCUCACUGGUCGAGUCGGCCUGCGCGGAAGAUGUAACGGGGCUAAACCAUGCACCGAAGCUGCGGCAGCGACACUAUGUGUUGUUGGGUAGGGGAGCGUUCUGUAAGCCUGCGAAGGUGUGCUGUGAGGCAUGCUGGAGGUAUCAGAAGUGCGAAUGCUGACAUAAGUAACGAUAAAGCGGGUGAAAAGCCCGCUCGCCGGAAGACCAAGGGUUCCUGUCCAACGUUAAUCGGGGCAGGGUGAGUCGACCCCUAAGGCGAGGCCGAAAGGCGUAGUCGAUGGGAAACAGGUUAAUAUUCCUGUACUUGGUGUUACUGCGAAGGGGGGACGGAGAAGGCUAUGUUAGCCGGGCGACGGUUGUCCCGGUUUAAGCAUGUAGGCUGAUUAUCCAGGCAAAUCCGGAUAAUCAAGGCUGAGGUGUGAUGACGAGGCACUACGGUGCUGAAGUAACAAAUGCCCUGCUUCCAGGAAAAGCCUCUAAGCAUCAGGUAACAUCAAAUCGUACCCCAAACCGACACAGGUGGUCAGGUAGAGAAUACCAAGGCGCUUGAGAGAACUCGGGUGAAGGAACUAGGCAAAAUGGUGCCGUAACUUCGGGAGAAGGCACGCUGGUGUGUAGGUGAAGUCCCUGCGGAUGGAGCUGAGACCAGUCGAAGAUACCAGCUGGCUGCAACUGUUUAUUAAAAACACAGCACUGUGCAAACACGAAAGUGGACGUAUACGGUGUGACGCCUGCCCGGUGCCGGAAGGUUAAUUGAUGGGGUUAUCCGUAAGGAGAAGCUCUUGAUCGAAGCCCCGGUAAACGGCGGCCGUAACUAUAACGGUCCUAAGGUAGCGAAAUUCCUUGUCGGGUAAGUUCCGACCUGCACGAAUGGCGUAAUGAUGGCCAGGCUGUCUCCACCCGAGACUCAGUGAAAUUGAACUCGCUGUGAAGAUGCAGUGUACCCGCGGCAAGACGGAAAGACCCCGUGAACCUUUACUAUAGCUUGACACUGAACAUUGAGCCUUGAUGUGUAGGAUAGGUGGGAGGCUUUGAAGCGUGGACGCCAGUCUGCGUGGAGCCAACCUUGAAAUACCACCCUUUAAUGUUUGAUGUUCUAACGUUGGCCCCUGACCGGGGUUGCGGACAGUGUCUGGUGGGUAGUUUGACUGGGGCGGUCUCCUCCCAAAGCGUAACGGAGGAGCACGAAGGUUAGCUAAUCCUGGUCGGACAUCAGGAGGUUAGUGCAAUGGCAUAAGCUAGCUUGACUGCGAGCGUGACGGCGCGAGCAGGUGCGAAAGCAGGUCAUAGUGAUCCGGUGGUUCUGAAUGGAAGGGCCAUCGCUCAACGGAUAAAAGGUACUCCGGGGAUAACAGGCUGAUACCGCCCAAGAGUUCAUAUCGACGGCGGUGUUUGGCACCUCGAUGUCGGCUCAUCACAUCCUGGGGCUGAAGUAGGUCCCAAGGGUAUGGCUGUUCGCCAUUUAAAGUGGUACGCGAGCUGGGUUUAGAACGUCGUGAGACAGUUCGGUCCCUAUCUGCCGUGGGC
This 2622-nucleotide ribosomal RNA is filed under the name Klebsiella pneumoniae. RNAcentral describes it as "bacterial LSU rRNA". It matches the Rfam family "Bacterial large subunit ribosomal RNA". The record is from RNAcentral. Lineage: Bacteria; Pseudomonadati; Pseudomonadota; Gammaproteobacteria; Enterobacterales; Enterobacteriaceae.